UGUGAAUGUAAUUUAUGACGAGGAUUAUAUUUCAGUUCAACACAAGAUCCGUGCUGAUCUUUAACUUCCUCCCACAUAAACACAGAUGACUGGUAGUCACAACUGAUUUAGUACAUGGGGUUUACAUUUUUAUUUCAUGGGUUUUAUGAAGAGAUAUUUAGGAGCCAUGCCUGUCAUCUGGUCCUAAUCAGCGCAGCUUGUGGUUUAAUACAGUUGGUUUGGCCAAGUCUUUCACUUUUUCACUGCAGUGUUUCACAUUAGUUACAGUAUGGGAAAGUGGGCAUUAAGAAAUGUGUGACAGAGAGAACGAGACAGUGGAGACAUGUGGUUUGAAACGUUUUUUUGUGCACGUGUGCAUGCAUGCCAAUAAGAAAAAAAUGUGUGAGAGGAAUGAGUGGAAAUCACUGGUACAGACACAAGGGGUGCUAAAAUCAAUUUAAUUCAUUCUGUUUUUUUAAUAGCUCUGCAGACCUCAGUGACCCAUCUCACUGAAUUUCAAGAGAAAGUUCAAGUUGCAAGACGCUUGACUCCUGUGAUUAGGUAGGAAGCAAGAUUACACAGGUAUGACUGUGAAAAUUGAAGCUUGGGAUGACUUUCUCCUUACUAAAUCUUUUUGGAAUAUAAUAUUAAAGUUUAAUUCACUUCAGAAAUGUGUUCAAUUUAGUGAUGGACUGGAAAUCAAUAUCAUUUUUUUUUUUUUUUUUUUUACAUGGAAAUGAUUUUCAGUUCUGUUCUUCUACUUUUAAUACUGCAUUAAAAAGAAAUCAUUAUGCAGGGUUAGACACAAACAUAUUGCUGAUGGCUAAUCUGAAAAAAAGGCAAACACACAAACAAAACAUCUGGCUCAAACUGGUAUUAAAAAGGUCAAUGAAAAAGCAUAAAUUUGUUGAUGCCUGCGCAAACAAGUUAAUCUUCCUUGUUUCAAUAUAAAUCCUGUAACGUAAUCUUCCAAAAUACUGUAAAGCUUUAAAUCACUCUUUUACAUUCUGCUUAUUUGUUUUUACAGAAUUACGCAUUUAUUUAACAGUUUAAUCUAAAAAACAAACAAAUAAACAAGAAAAAAACACGGAUAGAUUUAUUUGUAGGAUAUACACGUUAAAUUGCAGUUUUGCACCUUUAUUUAUAUUAAUUUUUCAAUUGCAUUGACUUUCUCUUCUAUUCUGGUAAACAUAGCAGCUUUAGCACAACAGGUUUGCAAUCAGAUAAGUAAAAUAUACAUUUAUUUGGGUAAAAUGUUGCCGUGUCUGUGUAUGUGUGUUCCCAGGUCAGUCAGUUCACAGCUUAGGCCAAAUAGAACCAGUGAUCCAAGUUAAUGCUGUGAAAAUGACUGCUGGGAUCACAGCUAAUCCCAGGGGUUAGGCACCAUACAAGACAGCUGAUUGAAGGGAUGUGAGAAAGUUUAGCUUCAAUUUUUCUAAAUGGUGUAAUAGUUUUUCAGACAAUCACAAUACACAGUUCAAACCAGUUAAAUCUGGUGUAUUCUCUCCCUUCAUCCUUUUUAUUCAUAUUACACUGUAUGCAAUCUCGUUACAAAACAUUUAUGG
Astatotilapia calliptera (eastern happy) is the source of this 1544-nucleotide long non-coding RNA. NCBI's taxonomy places the organism in Eukaryota, Metazoa, Chordata, Actinopteri, Cichliformes, Cichlidae. The record is from Ensembl.